UUCUUUCAAUCUCUCUUUCUCUUCUUUCUUUCUCGCGCUCUUUUUGUGGUUGAUUUUCUCUUAUCAUCUUCUUCGUCCAUAACGACGACGUCGUAGAAGUAUUGGACAAGUCACAAGCAAGAGAGUUGAAAAUCAAGAAGAGGAGAGGAAGAUCUAACAGACGAGGAGGCGGAGGAGGAGAUGCAAGCUUCAGGAGCAGAGGCGAACAGAGAUUUCACGGUGAUUUCAGAGCCGGCAGAAUGGGGAAGAAGCAGCACAGCAAGGAUAGGAUGUUCAUCGCACCCCCUUCAAGCAACUUCCUUUCUGUUACUGCGCGCUUUCAUUUACUCCGUUUGAAUAUCUGGUGUGCACAACUGAUGGGAGUAUAUGAUAAAUUGGUUUGAAAAUUUACUGCGUCUUGAGUAAAAUAUUAACGAAGUUAUUCAGACUAGGAUGAUGGAGCUUACAAGGGAGCCAGAAGCACCAGACAGGGCAGUGGCUCAAUGGCAUCUCUGGAAGAGCGUAGUGGCAGAAUGGUGUGCCGCACUUGAAGAGAAGAUUAGGAGAUCUCGAUGUCGGCAAUGGUGGAAUGAUGCGACAAAAGAGGGGAGCACACAGACAAGCUUUUGGUGGUUUGAAAUCACUCCCUCAAAGCAUCAGAAUGAGUUUCCAUCAAUGCCUCCUGUAAACUUAGCUUACUCUAUCCAAUCUGAUACAAUUGAAAAUGAAUCAUAUCAAAGCUCCCCAAAGUACCCUAGCAGACAAGUAUUAUUCUAUCAUUUCAUUUUUAGAUUUUGAUUAUAUUUUAUUAUACUUUUUUCUAUCCUCUUCUGUACUCUUGAUAUUUCUAUUUAUUUGGGUUUGAUGCCUGUAGUCAGCAGCCCUUAUUCUAUAACAUAUAGAGAAGAAAGAAUAAACAUUAGUAUGUUAUAUCCAUUUCAUUUUAACUAAUUGGAUCCAAUACUAAAAUAACACACCUUUAUGGAUUUGUACCCACCAUCACAUUGUUAGAAAUUCUUCAUUUGGUAUGUCAAUCCUCUCAUCACUAACACUUCACAUAUGCCAAUAUAAAUUUUCUUGAAAGAUGUUUUAAGUUCUUAAUUUAUUAGCUGGAAUAAAAAGGAUUUGUUUUUGGAAAUUCUGUAAG
Arachis stenosperma is the source of this 1126-nucleotide long non-coding RNA. RefSeq lists it as uncharacterized. The record is from RefSeq and is a predicted model, not a curated record. Lineage: Eukaryota; Viridiplantae; Streptophyta; Magnoliopsida; Fabales; Fabaceae. The transcript has 4 exons.